This 68-nucleotide transfer RNA is filed under the name Protogoniomorpha anacardii duprei. RNAcentral's name for it is "tRNA-Ser". Lineage: Eukaryota; Metazoa; Arthropoda; Insecta; Lepidoptera; Nymphalidae. The record is from RNAcentral.
AAUUAAUGAGCUUGUUUAAUAAGCAUUUGUUUUGAAAACAUAAGAAAGAAUAAAUAUUCUAUUAAUUU